Molecule: ribosomal RNA, 536 nt
Filed under: uncultured bacterium
Lineage: Bacteria
Description: bacterial SSU rRNA
Rfam family: Bacterial small subunit ribosomal RNA
Source: RNAcentral
CCUGGCCUUGACAUACUAAGAACUUUCCAGAGAUGGAUUGGUGCCUUCGGGAACUUAGAUACAGGUGCUGUAUGGCUGUCGUCAGCUCGUGUCGUGAGAUGUUGGGUUAAGUCCCGCAACGAGCGCAACCCUUUUCCUUAUUUGCCAGCGGGUCAUGCCGGGAACUUUAAGGAUACUGCCAGUGACAAACUGGAGGAAGGCGGGGACGACGUCAAGUCAUCAUGGCCCUUACGGCCAGGGCUACACACGUGCUACAAUGGUCGGUACAAAGGGUUGCUACCUCGCGAGAGGAUGCUAAUCUCAAAAAGCCGAUCGUAGUCCGGAUCGCAGUCUGCAACUCGACUGCGUGAAGUCGGAAUCGCUAGUAAUCGCGGAUCAGAAUGCCGCGGUGAAUACGUUCCCGGGCCUUGUACACACCGCCCGUCACACCAUGGGAGUUUGUUGCACCAGAAGUAGGUAGUCUAACCGCAAGGAGGACGCUUACCACGGUGUGGCCGAUGACUGGGGUGAAGUCGUAACAAGGUAGGCGUAGAUGA